This 274-nucleotide ribosomal RNA is filed under the name uncultured bacterium. RNAcentral describes it as "partial 16S ribosomal RNA". It matches the Rfam family "Bacterial small subunit ribosomal RNA", at positions 523 to 796 of the family's 1533-position model. The record is from RNAcentral.
AUACGGAGGGUGCAAGCGUUAUCCGGAAUCAUUGGGUUUAAAGGGUCCGUAGGCGGACUAUUAAGUCAGAGGUGAAAUCCCACAGCUCAACUGUGGAACUGCCUUUGAUACUGGUAGUCUUGAGUUAUAUGGAAGUAGAUAGAAUGUGUAGUGUAGCGGUGAAAUGCAUAGAUAUUACACAGAAUACCGAUUGCGAAGGCAGACUACUACGUAUAUACUGACGCUAAGGGACGAAAGCGUGGGGAGCGAACAGGAUUAGAAACCCCAGUAGUCC